AUAAACGCUGGCGGCGUGCAUGAGACAUGCAAGUCGAACGAAGGAUCGGGCUUGCUCGAUCCUUAGUGGCGGACGGCUGAGUAACGCGUAGGUGACCUACCCCGAAGUGGGGAAUAACUGCCCGAAAGGGUGGCUAAUACCGCAUGUGGUCGCACGUUCAUUCGUGCGAGUAAAGCCGCAAGGCGCUUCGGGAGGGGCCUGCGUCCGAUUAGCUCGUUGGUGGGGUAAUGGCUUACCAAGGCGACGAUCGGUAGGUGGUCUGAGAGGACGAUCACCCAGACUGGGACUGAGACACGGCCCAGACUCCUACGGGAGGCAGCAGCCGGGAAUUUUGCUCAAUGGGGGAAACCCUGAAGCAGCAACGCCGCGUGAGGGAUGAAGGCCUUCGGGUUGUAAACCUCUUUUGUCAGGGACGAUGAUGACGGUACCUGGCGAAUAAGCCACGGCUAACUACGUG
Molecule: ribosomal RNA, 457 nt
Filed under: uncultured bacterium
Lineage: Bacteria
Description: partial 16S ribosomal RNA
Rfam family: Bacterial small subunit ribosomal RNA
Source: RNAcentral